AAAAAAAGGGGGGUCAAAGUCGGCCAAACCAAGUAAUAAAAAAUAAAAAUAUCAAGUUUUAUCCUUAUCUUUAUAUGAGUAUAAAUACAUCCAUAUCCAUUGCCAUAGAAAUAUUUCCUUCAUUUUACAACACACUUAUACACUUAAAAAGAAGGCAAAAACCGAAAUCAAGAAAGGAAAGGAGAAGGAAGAAAGUUUAGCACUUUCAAUUCAUUUCAAUCAAAGAUCUUCAAGUUUUACGGUAAGAUACCUUCUAUGCUUAUGUGGUAUGAUUUUCAUGGUAAUAUUUAUGCUUAAACUAUGCAUGAAAAACCACAAUAUGAUUAUGGUGGACAAGUCCACAAAGUUAGAUAUCUAUUUAUGCCUUAGGACAAGUCCGAAGGGCACCGGCAUGUCGGAAUAUGGAAGUAUGGGUUUGAUUGCUUUCUUUGGUGUAGUAUUAUCAUGAUAAAUGUUCAAGCAUGGUAUCUUACUGAGUAUUUCCUUAUACUCAAAGUAUGUUAUGCUAAACUUUUCAGAUCCAUGAUCAUUUGAAUUGAUGGAAGUUAGUUGGCUUACGCGAUGAUGGAUUAAGGACAACGAAGUUUUGUACCGAAAGUUUUCUUUUGUGUGUUUUGUUCGAUGGCAGUUUUUACAUCUAUUUUUCUUAUGGUAUUAUGUAAAAAUAUGAACAUGGAAUGAUGUAUUAUGGUAUUACUAGUAAAUUUU
This 708-nucleotide long non-coding RNA is filed under the name Olea europaea (common olive). RNAcentral's name for it is "long non-coding RNA (OEUR_LNC000767)". The record is from RNAcentral. Lineage: Eukaryota; Viridiplantae; Streptophyta; Magnoliopsida; Lamiales; Oleaceae.